AUGACAGUGCUGGGCGAGGUGGUUGAAGCAGGGUUGCAGCACAGGUGUGUCGCUUCCUGGAGCUGUUCUGGGAUGGAUGUGUGGAGAAGCCAGGGAAAUGCCUAGACUCUCACACUGAAAAUUGCCUCUCUAGCUCUGUGGACCGCUUCAUUGACACCACUCUUACCAUCCCAGUCGGCUUGCCCAGAUUGUACAGAAAGGAGGGCAGUAG
This 211-nucleotide long non-coding RNA is filed under the name Homo sapiens (human). RNAcentral describes it as "non-protein coding lnc-UBL3-3:1". The record is from RNAcentral. Lineage: Eukaryota; Metazoa; Chordata; Mammalia; Primates; Hominidae.